AUGGCGGCAACCCAGCUCCGCGGAUCGGCGGUGCCGGGGACGGCGAGGAGGUGGCGGGCUCCCUCCGGCGCCAUCCUCCGCUUCGCGCCGCUCGCCACGUCCAGGCUCCCAGCAGCGUCUCUUCGUCGGAGGGGAGCCUUCAGUGGCCUUUCCGCCAGUGUCACCAGGGAGCUUAUCGCCUUGCAGUCAUUGACUACAAUGUGCAUGAAGUCAAAAUGUACUAGCACUCCCAUUGAUCAUGCCACUGCUCCUGAGCAUACAGAAGAUGAAGUUCCCGAGCCAACCGCUGUGGUGACUGCUAGUGAAGAGAUAAAUAUAGACCAGGAAGUUGCUCCGCCACAUAAGAGUGCUAUAAUACAUGAUUUCUGCCUAGGGAUCCCUUUUGGUGGAUUAUUAUUUUCCAUGGGCCUUGUUGGAUUUCUAUUUUGGAGGAGUCCUGUAAGUCUUACUUUUGGCGUUGCACCUGGUCUUGCUAUAUUGGGACUUGCCGUGCUUAGUCUUAAGGGUUGGAGGAGUGGAAAGUCCAGCUUGCCAUUUAUACUGGCACAAGCAGCUGUUGCUGCUGCUGUAGCAUGGAAGCACUGCCAGGCGUAUGCCACAACAAAGAAGCUGCUUCCCUGGGGCUUUUAUACUGCGCUCAGUGUCUUGAUGAUCUGCUUCUACUCGUACGUGUUGCUUGCCGGGGGGAAUCCACCACCAAAGAAGAAGCCAGCAGCUGCUAUAUAA
Molecule: ribosomal RNA, 726 nt
Filed under: Triticum aestivum (bread wheat)
Lineage: Eukaryota; Viridiplantae; Streptophyta; Magnoliopsida; Poales; Poaceae
Description: partial small subunit ribosomal RNA
Source: RNAcentral